This 70-nucleotide transfer RNA is filed under the name Kofleriaceae bacterium. RNAcentral's name for it is "tRNA-Met". It matches the Rfam family "tRNA". Rfam says of the family: Transfer RNA (tRNA) molecules are approximately 80 nucleotides in length. Their secondary structure includes four short double-helical elements and three loops (D, anti-codon, and T loops). Lineage: Bacteria; Pseudomonadati; Myxococcota; Haliangiales; Kofleriaceae. The record is from RNAcentral.
GCGGGGUACCUCGGGCUAGAGCAGGGGUCUCAUAAGCCCUUGGUCGGCAGUUCAAAUCUGCCCUCCGCCA